RNAcentral lists this ribosomal RNA (1445 nucleotides) under Alkalicoccobacillus gibsonii. RNAcentral's name for it is "bacterial SSU rRNA". It matches the Rfam family "Bacterial small subunit ribosomal RNA", at positions 56 to 1238 of the family's 1533-position model. Lineage: Bacteria; Bacillati; Bacillota; Bacilli; Caryophanales; Bacillaceae. The record is from RNAcentral.
UGCAAGUCGAGCGGACGUUUUUGAAGCUUGCUUUAAAAACGUUAGCGGCGGACGGGUGAGUAACACGUGGGCAACCUACCUUAUCGACUGGGAUAACUCCGGGAAACCGGGGCUAAUACCGGAUAACAUCUAGCACCUCCUGGUGCCGGAUUAAAAGAGGGCUUCUUGCUCUCACGAUGAGAUGGGCCCGCGGCGCAUUAGCUAGUUGGAGAGGUAAUGGCUCCCCAAGGCGACGAUGCGUAGCCGACCUGAGAGGGUGAUCGGCCACACUGGGACUGAGACACGGCCCAGACUCCUACGGGAGGCAGCAGUAGGGAAUCUUCCGCAAUGGACGAAAGUCUGACGGAGCAACGCCGCGUGAGUGAUGAAGGGUUUCGGCUCGUAAAGCUCUGUUAUGAGGGAAGAACACGUACCGUUCGAAUAGGGCGGUACCUUGACGGUACCUCAUCAGAAAGCCACGGCUAACUACGUGCCAGCAGCCGCGGUAAUACGUAGGUGGCAAGCGUUGUCCGGAAUUAUUGGGCGUAAAGCGCGCGCAGGCGGCCUUUUAAGUCUGAUGUGAAAUCUUGCGGCUCAACCGCAAGCGGCCAUUGGAAACUGGGAGGCUUGAGUACAGAAGAGGAGAGUGGAAUUCCACGUGUAGCGGUGAAAUGCGUAGAUAUGUGGAGGAACACCAGUGGCGAAGGCGACUCUCUGGUCUGUAACUGACGCUGAGGCGCGAAAGCGUGGGGAGCAAACAGGAUUAGAUACCCUGGUAGUCCACGCCGUAAACGAUGAGUGCUAGGUGUUAGGGGUUUCGAUGCCCCGUAGUGCCGAAGUUAACACAUUAAGCACUGGAAACUGGGAGGCUUGAGUACAGAAGAGGAGAGUGGAAUUCCACGUGUAGCGGUGAAAUGCGUAGAUAUGUGGAGGAACACCAGUGGCGAAGGCGACUCUCUGGUCUGUAACUGACGCUGAGGCGCGAAAGCGUGGGGAGCAAACAGGAUUAGAUACCCUGGUAGUCCACGCCGUAAACGAUGAGUGCUAGGUGUUAGGGGUUUCGAUGCCCGUAGUGCCGAAGUUAACACAUUAAGCACUCCGCCUGGGGAGUACGGCCGCAAGGCUGAAACUCAAAGGAAUUGACGGGGGCCCGCACAAGCAGUGGAGCAUGUGGUUUAAUUCGAAGCAACGCGAAGAACCUUACCAGGUCUUGACAUCCUUUGACCACUCUGGAGACAGAGCUUCCCCUUCGGGGGCAAAGUGACAGGUGGUGCAUGGUUGUCGUCAGCUCGUGUCGUGAGAUGUUGGGUUAAGUCCCGCAACGAGCGCAACCCUUGACCUUAGUUGCCAGCAUUUAGUUGGGCACUCUAAGGUGACUGCCGGUGACAAACCGGAGGAAGGUGGGGAUGACGUCAAAUCAUCAUGCCCCUUAUGACCUGGGCUACACACGUGCUACAAUGGAUGGU